Ameiurus melas (black bullhead) is the source of this 72-nucleotide non-coding RNA. NCBI's taxonomy places the organism in Eukaryota, Metazoa, Chordata, Actinopteri, Siluriformes, Ictaluridae. The record is from the annotation of a GenBank genome assembly.
GUGGCUGUGGCUCAGUUGGUAGAGUAGGCUGUCCUCUAAUUGUAGGGUUCGUGGUUCGAUUCCUGGCCCACA